GCAGCCAUGUGGUGAGCACA
Molecule: non-coding RNA, 20 nt
Filed under: Arabidopsis thaliana (thale cress)
Lineage: Eukaryota; Viridiplantae; Streptophyta; Magnoliopsida; Brassicales; Brassicaceae
Source: RNAcentral